RNAcentral lists this transfer RNA (77 nucleotides) under Mycobacterium dioxanotrophicus. RNAcentral describes it as "tRNA-His". It matches the Rfam family "tRNA". Rfam says of the family: Transfer RNA (tRNA) molecules are approximately 80 nucleotides in length. Their secondary structure includes four short double-helical elements and three loops (D, anti-codon, and T loops). Lineage: Bacteria; Bacillati; Actinomycetota; Actinomycetes; Mycobacteriales; Mycobacteriaceae. The record is from RNAcentral.
GCGGUGGUAGCUCAAUCGGCAGAGCACCUGGUUGUGGUCCAGGAGGUAGUCGGGUUCGAAUCCCACCCAUCGCCCCA